This is a long non-coding RNA of Pygocentrus nattereri (red-bellied piranha), 1899 nucleotides long. NCBI's taxonomy places the organism in Eukaryota, Metazoa, Chordata, Actinopteri, Characiformes, Serrasalmidae. The record is from Ensembl.
CAGCUCUGUCCGGUGGUCCAUUAGCUGUGCCCAAACGCAAAGAAGCUACUUUACCACCUACAGGAAAAAGACAGUAUGUGUAUCUGAUGGUCACUGGGGGGAUUUUACUAACAGUGGCUAUAGUGGUCACUGUGAUCUGGAGGAGACAGACACAGAGGCGUGUGAAUCACAUUAUGUUGGAGGGGAUGGAGCCAGAGGAGCUCACGGUGAAGGAUGAUGUUGAUCUGCUGGACCAUGAAUGGACAAACAGGACUGUUCUGAAACUGGAGGAGGAGAAGGACACUGUAGCAGAGCUUUAACGGCACAGACUCUCAGAAAUACUGCAGUUUAACAAACACAGUUCUCAACGUUUUCAUAUUUAUAAUGUCGUAUUUCAGCUGAUGAAUUAUGAUCUACUGGAUGUGAAACAGACUGUAAUCCAGUGCAGGUCACAUGGAAUAACGAACCCUCUGAUGGUGACCUGCAGUGGGUUCUGGGUAAUUUUAUAACUUGUUAUUUUCAGAAGCUCCGGCAUGUUUUACUGAACCCAUGUCAGCACUCGUGAUGGAGUGUAAGUGAUCGCUGGAGUGCGAGUGUAUGUGUGUGUGUGUGUGUAUGAGUGAGCAUGAGUGUGUUUGUAUGUGUGUGUGUGUGUGUGUGUGUGUGUGUGUGUGUGUGUAAUGGUGUCAGGUGGUCUGAAUGAAGCCUGAACCAGUUCCAGAUUCCAGAUCACUUCAGGAAUGCGGGGCAGUAAUGGUGGCCUUUGGCCCACCUGGCUAACAGCCUUUCCCCCCUGGCUAACAACCCUUAGCUCAGCUGGCCAACAGGCUUCAAUGCUUAAACGCACAGAUUAACGCAGCCUAAAAUAUCAUAUAAUCAUAGUCAGAGUACUGGUCUGAUGUCAGACCCGUCACUGCUGUCAUAUUGCCGCCGGUCGGCAGUCAGAUGAAGUGACAGCUAACAGUAGCUCAGUGACCGCAGCUCUCACAGAGACACUGUUCGUUUACUGUCACAUUAGUCAACAAAGUAUUCAGAUCUCAUCCAAAUCAAGCCUUCCAACUCCACAAUAUAAACUUCUCAGGAAAAGGAAAAAUAUUCUUCAUAUGUAAUUUUGUAUUAACUAAUAAAUACUAACAAUGAACCAUGUAUUUCAUGUGUGUCAAGCUUAUUGACCUCAAAUGUAUGAAUCUGGUACAACGCUGUCAUAUAAAGUAGGCCAAUUUUAUUUAUGAAAUAAUAUUUCAUAAACAAACAUCACAAGACACAGCACUUAAUCAGUUCUUAAGGAACCAUGACUCUAAUUAACACUAAUUAGUGAUCAGUUUCUAUUCUCCAUUUUCUGUUCAGGAGAGAAUGGUUGCUCCUAAAUUAUGCUAGCACAGCAUAAAUAACCAUUUUGAGCGUUUUCAAUCAGGUUUCUGUCCACAGAGAUCAACAGAAGAAACAGUGGAGAGAAAAACGUCAUGGCUAACCGAACUGAAAACUGCACUGAGAUCACUAAGCAGGUCACCAUUCCUCACCAUUCUUAUCAUAUCUCAGUGCAGCUUUCAACACUGCUACUCAUGAUAUUCCUGUGGCAUGUUGGGCUUCCAUCAUAUUUAAUUCAAUAUCGAUGAGUGAAAAUCUGUCUCUUUAACAUCCCUGUUAAACAUGGUGUUCCGCAAGAAUCCAUCCUCAGCCCCAUUCUUUUCACCACGUUUAUGCUUUCGCUCAGCCAGGUCUUGUUGGUUAUGCUAACUUCAAAAUUUUUACCUGUACAAACAGAAACUUUGCUGUCAGUGUAAACUUCACAUCUGGCAUUCAGCACAGGAAAUACUGUAAUUUUCCAGUUUGUAUUCAAAUACAGAAAAACCUUCAUUUCUGAUGACAUGGAAGAACUUAGAAACUUUGUGCAGUUCAGAUGAACAUUGUUCACACAGG